Molecule: long non-coding RNA, 1770 nt
Organism: Procambarus clarkii (red swamp crayfish)
Lineage: Eukaryota; Metazoa; Arthropoda; Malacostraca; Decapoda; Cambaridae
Source: RefSeq, a predicted model, not a curated record
CUCUUGUAGUGUUAGCGGUCUUGUUGCCCCUGAGGUUGGCACCCAAUUUGUUGUGGAAAGUGUUGAUGGGUCCCUAGGGCCAACAGGCCUCUAGAGCACACUCAAUUUAUACGUCAGAACGUGAUUACCUAGGGACAAAAAAAUUGUUUGAACCACAAUGAGGUCGUAUUGGGACUGAGAUGACGUGACUGGUGGCCUUGGAAACUGAGACAAGACCUGUGAUGGUAACACUGAAAAUGUGCAAAAGCUGUUAGCAACGUGGCUGUGUUGAAUUUACAAGUGAAGCAUUUUUCUUACCAAGGGAAGAAGCGCGUAUUUGGCGCGAUGCACACAAAAUGUGAAGACGCCGGGCAGACGGGAGACUCAUGCCACCUUGAAGCUUCCACGAUCUUGUCGUGCAUGGAGCUCCUCCGGCCGCACUGUGCUUCAGGCUUAGUAGCAACAUGUACGACACGCCAACAACUGACUGAUGUAACCAAAUAAAUCUGAGAAGGCACUAAAGUGUGUGUAAUGUAACCAACAACAUAACCAAAAGACGUUAGACUUGUAAGUGGAGGAUUUCCCUUCUUACCCAAGCCUGGGAUAGGUUUCAACUUUAGUAAGUUGAAAGGUGAGCUUGGGUUAGAAUAUCACGUAUGUCUGGGAGUGUGUGGUAUUGUAAUGGUACUACCACUACAUGUGUGGAAGGUUGAAUGAAGCUAAUGCUGCAUCGUACUAAUGGUCGUUUGCGAGGCAGUACAAAUUGUUUUAAAUUUGAACGAACUUUCAAAUCAAAGGGACAAUGAAUACCUGAAGUUAGUCUUGAUAUUUAGUGUAGCAAAUAGGUUUAGAACACCACACCCCCUUGUAAUCGAAAAGAGAUCAGAGUAAAGAGCGUUGUACUUCACCCUAGGACAAUACUGAGUGGCAUAGGUUAGCAAAGUGGUGUGGGUGAACAUAUGCAUGGAGUGUAAGUAUAUAAAAGUUGGUACAACAUAUUUGCUGAUUGGGUUAAUUGGUCUGCAUAGAAAGCAGAUGGGAAUGUAAUGGUUGAGUAGUUUGCUAUUGUCGGUCACAAAUGGGAAAUAAAGAAUUGGUGUACAUGUCAGUCUUGGGGAAAAGUGGUUAAUAGUGUAAUAUGAAGUGUGUACGUGUAAUACUGCUACUCUUGUGAGUAGUGGUCUGACAGUGCCUGUUGCAGGGACAAGGUGAUACAAUGUAACUAAUAGACAAGUAAUAGCAUUAAAUUGAGUAGGGCUGAAAGUGUUACAAUUGACAGGAUGAGUAGGCAUUCAGGACUCAUAGAUGGAAAUCCUUAUAAUUGAAUGGGAAGUUUUGCACAAACUAUAGAUAUAGGCCGAGGUACUCAAAUAGUUAAAGGUGCAUAUAUGAAAGACAUGCGUACGUUACAUAGUGGUCUGGCAAGAAGUUUAUACAAUAUUUUCAUGGACUCUUCAUAGGCAUCAUGUGGGUGGUAGUAGGGGCAAUACCAUCCUGCGAGAUGUAGGGUUGAUCCAUACACAACUUUGGUAUAGUUUAUCUUGGUGAUAUUAGUUAGCUGUAUUACAUUCUGUACGAAAUGUAGUUACAUAGCCUUCCAGGUUUGGUGUUUAUACCCCAAAAAAAUUACUUAGGUAGGUACCAACAUGUAGUGUAGUUUUCAAUGGCCAUAGAUGUCACGUAGUGGCAUUUUGUGAUUGUUCAUAAGUUUGACAGGUCACAGUGAAAAAUAUUGCUAAUAUUUGGAGAAAUACACUGACUACAGUAUGUUUAGGAAAUGUUUGUUGUGGG